CCUAAGAGUUACCCGAAGCUCGGCAUCCGCGAUUGUCUAAGGGGCCUCCGAGACGUUCGGGCAGCGUCAGUCUUCAGCCGCCAAGCCGAGGAGAUCUGGGAAGGAGUCGGUGGGGAGCUUUGGGUUUGAGCUCCAGGAGCUCCGGAAGUGGCGAUGAGAGUCGGGCAGUCAGACUUCCAGUGAGGGCCCGCACAGGCGGGGCAUGGCUUAGGAGGAAUCCCAGGCUGCAGGCAUUCCUUGGCCCAGUGGCCAGGUUUUCAUCGCUUGAAGCAAAGUCCCAGAGGGGCUGUUGGAUGUUGCGUUUAGAUGCCUUGAAGUUCUUGCAGGUAGGCAGUGCAGCUGGGGUUUGUCUUAUGGCGGAGGCAAGCAUCUGUAGUUCUGAAAUGCGCUGUCGCCGGGCAGUCUCUUCCCUAUUAUUGAACACCUUGAAGGCGAGGUUGAUUAAUUCCUGUUGUGGGAUCUGAGAGCCAGACUCUAAUUUUUGAAGUUUCUUUCUACUGUCAGAAACUGACUGGGUAAUAAAAUGCAUGUUAAGAAUAAGGCGGCCUUCUAUCCCUUCAGGGUCUAGUGCUGUAUAUCGCCUGAGGGUGGCAGGUAGACAGGCCAUAAACUGAGCUGGAUUUUUAUCUUUGUUCUGAGUGGUUUUUUUUGUUUUUGUUUUUGUUUUUUAGUUUGUCAUAAUUGACGGCUUUAUAUGCAGCCUUCUGAAGCCCUUUAACUAGGCAAGAGAUCAUGUAGUCCCGCCUGGCUAUGCCUGGGUCCCAGGGCCUGGCUUCAAAAUGGUGAGAAGAUAAUGAGAAAAGGAAAGAAUCUAUGGAUAAGAAGUAAGGAGAAAAUCGUUGACAAUUGUCAAAAUCUUGCCUCAUUACUUCUCCAGGAAUGAUGUCUAUCCUUUUCUUCAAACACAUUCUGUAUUCUAGGAAUUCUGAAUUAUUUUGGAUUAGCCAAACUCACUAUAAACUCUACUGUAAAGAAGGCAUUCCAAGAGAAGGAACAACGUGAAAAGAAACAAACUCAUGAAGGCCUGAGGCAUGAGCAUGUGUUGAGCAUUUGGGAAAGAACAAAGU
This 1067-nucleotide long non-coding RNA is filed under the name Homo sapiens (human). RNAcentral's name for it is "HSALNT0334932". Lineage: Eukaryota; Metazoa; Chordata; Mammalia; Primates; Hominidae. The record is from RNAcentral.